CACCGCCUGCCCGCGCCGCCGCCGGCGAGCUCGCCGUCGGCCGGAACCCUAGAAACCGGCCAGUCCCGCCAUGCCACGUGGCAGGGUUUUCUUUUUUUUUUAAUUCGGCCGAAUUGGAUAAUGCAAUUUUGCAGAAAAGCCCCUACAACUUCAAAACCUUAUAUCUUUCAAACCGUUUGUCCAAAAUUUGUGUUCCGCACCUUUCUGGAAUCGUCACAACGUGUAGAAUAUUUUGGCACUGUUUAUUUCCAUUUUUGAAUAACUUAGACAGUAGCUAUUUGCAGAAUGGUUGAAUAUGGUUUAAAUUUCAAAUGAAUUGUUUCAAAAUAGUUUUGAGCAUGUUAUUUUGCUGUAAAAUUAUUUAAACUUGUUCUCUGUCCAUUAGGACCAGAAAAGAAAUUAUAUUGUGUAUAAUCAUGGCAU
RNAcentral lists this long non-coding RNA (423 nucleotides) under Brachypodium distachyon (stiff brome). RNAcentral describes it as "long non-coding RNA (BDIS_LNC005210)". The record is from RNAcentral. Lineage: Eukaryota; Viridiplantae; Streptophyta; Magnoliopsida; Poales; Poaceae.